RNAcentral lists this non-coding RNA (22 nucleotides) under Arabidopsis thaliana (thale cress). The record is from RNAcentral. Lineage: Eukaryota; Viridiplantae; Streptophyta; Magnoliopsida; Brassicales; Brassicaceae.
CAACGGACCCGCCAGUCAACAC